This 198-nucleotide unclassified non-coding RNA is filed under the name soil metagenome. RNAcentral's name for it is "partial internal transcribed spacer 1". The record is from RNAcentral.
CCAAAAGAGCGAGAAAUCGUUUCUUACUGCCUGCUCGGUGGCCCCCUGGGCCGCUGACUGGUCAACCCUUUGUGAACCAAAAAACCUUUUCGCUUCGGCAGCUGGGCCUGACCGCCUGUCAGCCUGCCGCUAGCACCCAACCGAAAAAACCUGUUGUCAGAACAUUGUCUGAUAACCGAAAUUUUCGAAUGAAAAUCA